UUAAGCGACUAAGCGUACACGGUGGAUGCCCUGGCAGUCAGAGGCGAUGAAGGACGUGCUAAUCUGCGAAAAGCGCCGGCGAGGUGAUAUGAACCUUUGACCCGGCGAUGUCCGAAUGGGGAAACCCAGUGCAAUCCGUUGCACUAUCGUUAACUGAAUACAUAGGUUAACGAGGCGAACCGGGGGAACUGAAACAUCUAAGUACCCCGAGGAAAAGAAAUCAACCGAGAUUCCCCCAGUAGCGGCGAGCGAACGGGGAGCAGCCCGGAGUCUGAAUCAGCUUGUGUGUUAGUGGAACGGUCUGGAAAGUCCGACGGUACAGGGUGAUAGUCCCGUACACGAAAGCACACAUGCUGUGAACUCGAAGAGUAGGGCGGGACACGUGGUAUCCUGUCUGAAUAUGGGGGGACCAUCCUCCAAGGCUAAAUACUCCUGACUGACCGAUAGUGAACCAGUACCGUGAGGGAAAGGCGAAAAGAACCCCGGCGAGGGGAGUGAAAAAGAACCUGAAACCGUGUACGUACAAGCAGUGGGAGCCUCUUUAUGGGGUGACUGCGUACCUUUUGUAUAAUGGGUCAGCGACUUAUAUUCUGUAGCAAGGUUAACCGUAUAGGGGAGCCGAAGGGAAACCGAGUCUUAACUGGGCGUUAAGUUGCAGGGUAUAGACCCGAAACCCGGUGAUCUAGCCAUGGGCAGGUUGAAGGUUGGGUAACACUAACUGGAGGACCGAACCGACUAAUGUUGAAAAAUUAGCGGAUGACCUGUGGCUGGGGGUGAAAGGCCAAUCAAACCGGGAGAUAGCUGGUUCUCCCCGAAAGCUAUUUAGGUAGCGCCUCGUGAACUCAUCUUCGGGGGUAGAGCACUGUUUCGGCUAGGGGGCCAUCCCGGCUUACCAACCCGAUGCAAACUACGAAUACCGAAGAAUGUUAUCACGGGAGACACACGGCGGGUGCUAACGUCCGUCGUGAAGAGGGAAACAACCCAGACCGCCAGCUAAGGUCCCAAAGUCAUGGUUAAGUGGGAAACGAUGUGGGAAGGCACAGACAGCCAGGAUGUUGGCUUAGAAGCAGCCAUCAUUUAAAGAAAGCGUAAUAGCUCACUGGUCGAGUCGGCCUGCGCGGAAGAUGUAACGGGGCUAAACCAUGCACCGAAGCUGCGGCAGCGACNUGCUGGAGGUAUCAGAAGUGCGAAUGCUGACAUAAGUAACGAUAAAGCGGGUGAAAAGCCCGCUCGCCGGAAGACCAAGGGUUCCUGUCCAACGUUAAUCGGGGCAGGGUGAGUCGACCCCUAAGGCGAGGCCGAAAGGCGUAGUCGAUGGGAAACAGGUUAAUAUUCCUGUACUUGGUGUUACUGCGAAGGGGGGACGGAGAAGGCUAUGUCAGCCGGGCGACGGUUGUCCCGGUUUAAGCAUGUAGGCGGAGGUUCCAGGUAAAUCCGGUACCUUGUUAACGCUGAGGUGUGAUGACGAGGCACUACGGUGCUGAAGUGAUAAAUGCCCUGCUUCCAGGAAAAGCCUCUAAGCAUCAGGUAACACGAAAUCGUACCCCAAACCGACACAGGUGGUCAGGUAGAGAAUACCAAGGCGCUUGAGAGAACUCGGGUGAAGGAACUAGGCAAAAUGGUGCCGUAACUUCGGGAGAAGGCACGCUGAUAUGUAGGUGAAGUCCCUGCGGACGGAGCUGAAAUCAGUCGAAGAUACCAGCUGGCUGCAACUGUUUAUUAAAAACACAGCACUGUGCAAACACGAAAGUGGACGUAUACGGUGUGACGCCUGCCCGGUGCCGGAAGGUUAAUUGAUGGGGUUAGCGGCAACGCGAAGCUCUUGAUCGAAGCCCCGGUAAACGGCGGCCGUAACUAUAACGGUCCUAAGGUAGCGAAAUUCCUUGUCGGGUAAGUUCCGACCUGCACGAAUGGCGUAAUGAUGGCCAGGCUGUCUCCACCCGAGACUCAGUGAAAUUGAACUCGCUGUGAAGAUGCAGUGUACCCGCGGCAAGACGGAAAGACCCCGUGAACCUUUACUAUAGCUUGACACUGAACACUGGUCCUUGAUGUGUAGGAUAGGUGGGAGGCUUUGAAGCGUGGACGCCAGUCUGCGUGGAGCCAACCUUGAAAUACCACCCUUUAAUGGCUGGUGUUCUAACGUAGACCCGUAAUCCGGGUUGCGGACAGUGUCUGGUGGGUAGUUUGACUGGGGCGGUCUCCUCCCAAAGAGUAACGGAGGAGCACGAAGGUUGGCUAAUCCUGGUCGGACAUCAGGAGGUUAGUGCAAUGGCAUAAGCCAGCUUGACUGCGAGCGUGACGGCGCGAGCAGGUGCGAAAGCAGGUCAUAGUGAUCCGGUGGUUCUGAAUGGAAGGGCCAUCGCUCAACGGAUAAAAGGUACUCCGGGGAUAACAGGCUGAUACCGCCCAAGAGUUCAUAUCGACGGCGGUGUUUGGCACCUCGAUGUCGGCUCAUCACAUCCUGGGGCUGAAGUAGGUCCCAAGGGUAUGGCUGUUCGCCAUUUAAAGUGGUACGCGAGCUGGGUUUAGAACGUCGUGAGACAGUUCGGUCCCUAUCUGCCGUGGGCGCUGGAGAAUUGAGGGGGGCUGCUCCUAGUACGAGAGGACCGGAGUGGACGCAUCACUGGUGUUCGGGUUGUCAUGCCAAUGGCACUGCCCGGUAGCUAAAUGCGGAAAAGAUAAGUGCUGAAAGCAUCUAAGCACGAAACUUGCCCCGAGAUGAGUUCUCCCUGAGAC
This 2736-nucleotide ribosomal RNA is filed under the name Enterobacter cloacae. RNAcentral describes it as "bacterial LSU rRNA". It matches the Rfam family "Bacterial large subunit ribosomal RNA". Lineage: Bacteria; Pseudomonadati; Pseudomonadota; Gammaproteobacteria; Enterobacterales; Enterobacteriaceae. RNAcentral also lists the same sequence under 1 other name. The record is from RNAcentral.